GGAGCGGCCGGGCCCGGUGGCCCAGCCGGUCUUCAAAACCGGUGAGGUCGCGUAACCCGCGGCUGGGUAGGUUCGACUCCUGCGCCGCUCCGC
RNAcentral lists this transfer RNA (93 nucleotides) under Actinomycetota bacterium. RNAcentral describes it as "tRNA-Sec". It matches the Rfam family "Selenocysteine transfer RNA". The record is from RNAcentral. Lineage: Bacteria; Bacillati; Actinomycetota.